UUCACCAAGCUGGUACGAGCAGGGGAAGGCAUUCCAAAGGCGUCGUGGUGGUUCAGAACAGCUGCAUCUUUAUUCUCGUGGGGACACUGGACAGGAGACCUGCGUACUCUUGCACACGCCAUGAACUCAUCUGGUAAAGCGUUGCUUGCAGGCCUUCUCUUUUUUUGACAGAAGAUUAAUACAGAGGCUGCUUCUUCCAGUCUUGUUGAUAAAUACUCAUUGAGGCAUCCUACAGAGAGAUCAGAUCUCGAUUGUGGAGACAUCGGGCAGCUGUGGACUGUGAGGGUGAACCGUGGGGCUUCAGGCCAGUAGAAGGUGCUAGUACCAUGGUCUCUGGGAGCGAUGGGAAGUGCUGCGUCAGGGAGCUGGCUGUAGACUCAGCGAUGUUGAUGUCACUGCUUGUGUGACUUGGCCAGGAAGAGGAAGAAAAGGAGGGGUGAAGAACUGCCCUGCUGGAGAUGGAAACGCCUCCAAGGGAGGAAGAAAAGACAGAGCAAGGACGUUUGCAGUGGAAUUAAAGCCGGUAGUGUGACUCAAGAGCCUGGAGGAAAGGUCUCGUUCGUGCCAUCGGUGGCUGCAGCCUUGGUACCAGCCUCAUGUGCCAGGUCCAUGGAGAUCACUGUCUUUGUCCAAGAAAAAGUCACUGGUGCUACCAGCAUCACAGAAACCUGUCUGCUGCAGGUGUUUUCUUUAUCUGUAGGGAUAUCUUUUGUCUAAUGCCUUGCUGAAUUUUAUGUGCAAUUUUGUCAUUCCUCCCACCCCCCAACCUUUUUUAAAAAUUUCCCUAAAGCUAUAAUUUGCUUUCCAGAUUUAUCAUGUGCAUGUAUUCACAGAACCAGUAAGUGGGAACUCUUGUUUUACUCUCCGUGCGGUUGGUUGUUUUGUAUAACUGCAUGAAAGCCUUUCCCUUCUGAACUAAGGAGACGCUGUUUAAAAUUAUUCCUCAUGCUUAAUUCCUGCUGGCUUGGAACCAUAUUUCUGACUUCUUUUGGAGUUCUUUCUCUUCUUGCUGUUUUCUUUGUGGGAUAAAGCAAACAAAAAUGAAACCAGUAUCUGGGCAAAGCCAUACUAUUGAUUUAAACAGUGCCAUUAAUGUUAUCACUGUUGUUUUCUGUCUCAUUUUGUAUGCAUCCCAGCACUUGCUCUGCUUUUCUGAUAGCGCUGCACUUCAGCAGAAGACUUUGUAGAGUUUUCCCACAGUGAUGUGCAGAGCUGUUGCACUAAAGUUAGAAGGGAAGCUAUGAAGAGGUGAGUGUGGAAUGUUAAAAAGACAGAAACCGUUGGUAAGAUACACAAGAAAGGGAUCUAAUUACAGGCUUUUGUCAAAAGAGUUCAUAAAGCCAGCACAGGUCCAGCGAAGCUGAGAGAAAGAAGGAUGAAAAAUAGCUGGUACGUAAAGGUACUCAUAGGAGCAGGGAUGUGUCUGUAUUCUGAACGGGAUUAGAAGUGAUCAGAGCUUCAGCAGCAAGCUUUGGAACGUGGUCCUUCAUCUGAUGCUGGCACCUCCAGCCGUGUGCAGCAUUGCCACCGUCAGCGUGCUGUGGGAGGACUUAGCACGGCUGGGGGUACAGCUGGCUCCUCACUGAUCCGCUGGGGGUUCCUGCAGGUAACCAGAAGCCUGCCUCAAAUCCCACAAAUUGGCAGAGCCCUCAUUUUGGAGAUAACGUGAGAUUUAAACAGCUUUGUAGAUCACAGCAGGUGAAGUUAAACCAAAUCAAUUUGUUUUCUAAAAUUUAGCCUUGGCUGAACAACUGUGACAGUCCCUAGCAAACCGAAUUUGAAAUGAACCCACCCUGUGUAUAAAUAAAACGUCCCGGUGUUCCUGUUGGUUUCUCUGGUGCCGUCUUUCUGCACUCGGGCUAGAUGCUCUGCAGCCUGGUUCGUUCCUCGCAGAAGGCGUCUUUAACCUUCUGAUUGGCACUGGGUGGUACGGUGACGGAAGCCCUGAUUUUGCACACAAUGAAUAUAUUGAUAGAUUUAUCUCAUUUAUUGUACUUAUCUGUCAUGGCUAAGGACACUAAUGAGUUGUUUUCAGGGACUAAUGAGAACUGUAAUGGCUAAUGGAUGUUUACAGCAUCGCUGCAUUUCGCCAUGUGAUAAUGUGAACACCAACUUCAGUCCCUUCAAAUCUUUAAUUGGCACCAUCAGUGUCUUUAAUUACAUUCAUCAGACAAUAAAAGUCUCAGAGAAAUCAAUGGGGAGAGGCAGAUAAUCCUGCUGGAGUGACCAGUUGCUCUAAGGGACACUUCUUUUGGAUGCUGCAGUCUUAAGUAAUAGAUUGCUGUAAGAAUUCUCCAAGAACUGAUUUUAAAACAGACCCAGUUCAAACUCAGACUUUUUCCUAUCUGCUCUGCGUUUUCCAUUACCUGAACUGUGCUUUUACCUCACAUAAAGUUUUCAUAUCUAUGGCAAAAAAGAUUGUCUUAGCAUUUUUGCUGAUCAGACUCGUGGGGGACACUUGCCAUUUGGAAACUAUUUCAGUGUGUGACUGGACCUCAAAAGUAAGUUACAGUGGGGGAGAUUUAUCAGAGUGAUCCAGGCAGUAAGCAGGAACAU
Molecule: long non-coding RNA, 2556 nt
Organism: Cygnus olor (mute swan)
Lineage: Eukaryota; Metazoa; Chordata; Aves; Anseriformes; Anatidae
Exons: 4
Source: RefSeq, a predicted model, not a curated record